This 253-nucleotide ribosomal RNA is filed under the name uncultured bacterium. RNAcentral describes it as "partial 16S ribosomal RNA". It matches the Rfam family "Bacterial small subunit ribosomal RNA", at positions 524 to 776 of the family's 1533-position model. The record is from RNAcentral.
UACAGAGGGGGCAAGCGUUGUUCGGAAUUACUGGGCGUAAAGGGCGCGUAGGCGGCCGCCUAAGUCAGACGUGAAAUCCCUCGGCUCAACCGGGGAACUGCGUCUGAUACUGGGUGGCUUGAAUCCGGGAGAGGGAUGCGGAAUUCCAGGUGUAGCGGUGAAAUGCGUAGAUAUCUGGAGGAACACCGGUGGCGAAGGCGGCAUCCUGGACCGGCAUUGACGCUGAGGCGCGAAAGCGUGGGGAGCGAACAGG